GAUCGUUGGAUGAGUGUGAGGCGUUGGAUCGAUUUCAUUCAAUUUGAGCCCCACAUUCAUCAGAGGUUCGU
This 71-nucleotide microRNA precursor is filed under the name Nicotiana sylvestris (wood tobacco). RNAcentral describes it as "MIR6151 microRNA precursor family". It matches the Rfam family "MIR6151 microRNA precursor family". The record is from Rfam by way of RNAcentral. RNAcentral also lists the same sequence under 1 other name. Lineage: Eukaryota; Viridiplantae; Streptophyta; Magnoliopsida; Solanales; Solanaceae.